RNAcentral lists this ribosomal RNA (274 nucleotides) under uncultured bacterium. RNAcentral's name for it is "partial 16S ribosomal RNA". It matches the Rfam family "Bacterial small subunit ribosomal RNA", at positions 523 to 796 of the family's 1533-position model. The record is from RNAcentral.
AUACGGGGGGUGCAAGCGUUAUUCGGAUUUAUUGGGCGUAAAGGGCGCGUAGGCGGCUUGGAAAGUCAGAUGUGAAAGCCCGGGGCUCAACCCCGGAAGUGCAUUUGAAACUAUCAGGCUUGAGUAUGGGAGAGGGAGGUGGAAUUCCUGGUGUAGAGGUGAAAUUCGUAGAUAUCAGGAGGAACACCGGUGGCGAAGGCGACUUCCUGGACCAAUACUGACGCUGAGGCGCGAAGGCGUGGGGAGCAAACAGGAUUAGAAACCCCAGUAGUCC